Molecule: ribosomal RNA, 522 nt
Filed under: uncultured bacterium
Lineage: Bacteria
Description: bacterial SSU rRNA
Rfam family: Bacterial small subunit ribosomal RNA
Source: RNAcentral
UGGGGAAUAUUGGACAAUGGGCGAAAGCCUGAUCCAGCUAUGCCGCAUGAGUGAAGAAGGCCUUCGGGUUGUAAAGCUCUUUUAGUGAGGAAGAUAAUGACGGUACUCACAGAAGAAAGUCCUGGCUAACUCCGUGCCAGCAGCCGCGGUAAUACGGAGAGGGCUAGCGUUAUUCGGAAUUAUUGGGCGUAAAGAGCGCGUAGGCUGGUUAGUAAGUUAAAAGUGAAAUCCCAAGGCUUAACUUUGGAAUUGCUUUUAAAACUGCUAAUCUAGAGGUUGAAAGAGGAUAGAGGAAUUCCUAGUGUAGAGGUGAAAUUCGUAAAUAUUAGGAGGAACACCAGUGGCGAAGGCGUCUAUCUGGUUCAAGUCUGACGCUGAGGCGCGAAGGCGUGGGGGGCAAACAGGAUUAGAUACCCUGGUAGUCCACGCUGUAAACGAUGAAUGCUAAAUAUGGGGAGGGUUACUUUCUGUAUUACAGCUAACGCGUUAAGCAUUCCGCCUGGGGACUACGGUCGCAAGAUU